Molecule: ribosomal RNA, 440 nt
Filed under: uncultured bacterium
Lineage: Bacteria
Description: partial 16S ribosomal RNA
Rfam family: Bacterial small subunit ribosomal RNA
Source: RNAcentral
CCUACGGGAGGCAGCAGUGGGGGAUAUUGCACAAUGGGGGGAACACUGAUGCAGCGACGCCGCGUGGGUGAAGAAGGGCCUCGGCGCGUAAAGCCCUGUCAGCAGGGAAGAAAAUGACGGUACCUGAAGAAGAAGCCACGGCUAACUACGUGCCAGCAGCCGCGGUAAUACGUAGGGGGCAAGCGUUAUCCGGAUUUACUGGGUGUAAAGGGGGCGCAGACGGCGAUGCAAGCCAGGAGUGAAAGCCCGGGGCUCAACCCCAGGACUGCUCUUGGUACUGCGUGGCUGGAGUGCAGGAGGGGCAGGCGGAAUUCCUGGUGUAGCGGUGAAAUGCGUAGAUAUCAGGAGGAACACCGGUGGCGAAGGCGGCCUGCUGGACUGCAACUGACGUUGAGGCCCGAAAGCGUGGGGAGCAAACAGGAUUAGAUACCCGAGUAGUC